AUGAAUGCUGGGGUCGGGAAGAUGGCAGAAAGAAGCUUCAUUGGCGUUUGUGGGAUUGGCUCUCAGUCCCUAAGACUUUCGGUGGCAUGGGCUUCCAGGAUAUGGUUCUUUUUAAUCAAGCCAUGCUUGCCAAGCAGGGUUGGAAUCUUCUCACUGCUUCGGAUACUCUUUGCACUUGUGUGCUCAAGGGCCGGUAUUUUCCCUCAGGGUGAUUUUUGGAAUGCCGCGGCACCGAGGUCUGCUUCGUACACUUGGAGGAGUAUUCUAUUUGGCCGAGACUUGCUAAAACAAGGUAUGCUAUGGAAUGUUGGUGAUGGUAGGAGCAUUCACAUCAUGUCUGAUCGGUGGAUGAUCUUGGGUCGUGGAAUGAAGAAACUGUUCGAGCGUUUUUCCAUCCACUUCAGUCAGGACGGAGGCGGUGAUGUGGUCUGCUGGCCUUUCACUAAGUUUGGUGAAUAUUCCGUACGGUCGGGAUACAAUCUUGCUCGGUCAACUAAGGCGAGUUCGGUUACCUGCAUCGAGGCCAACCAGGUCCGUGUGGUGCAGCAUCUUUUCAGACCUCGGUUGUUUGAUUUUCCGCAUACACUGUUCAGCCUGCAUAGCACAGUUCUUAAAGCACUCCUGGGCCUGACUCGUUGGGAACGGCCGAAUCGGCAGUUUCCCGAGAGCCAGGCUCGAGCGAUGCUUCGAGGCGCAUGUGGAUGGCUCUAUGGAGACGUGUGUCCCGAGUUAAUCCCUCUUUCUCCCCCUAAUCCUCAAUCCCCGCUUUCUCUCCCUCUGCUUCCGUCGAUCCCGUCGGCCGCGGCACCGCCGCCGUCCGUGGAGUCGUCGGCGCUGUCGAUCAAGAAGCGCCUUCUUCCAGCGGUGGCCCCGGCCACUUCUCCGCCGGUGUGGCCGUCGACCGCCGGUGUCCCCAGGCUUCCCGCGAGCCCAGGCUCGCCGCCGACCGUGGCGCUCCGGUCCAAGAAGCAGGGGCACUCGACCAGGAUGCGCGCAGGCAUGUCCUCGGCCGCCUUGACGCUCCGCGUCGGGAUGACCACCCUGGCACCCCGCUUGGCCAGCACCCAUGCCGUCUCCGCCCCAAUGCCCGACGUGGCACCCGUGAUGAUGGCGGUGAGCGAGCCGAUGUCCGGGCAGGCGGCCGUGACCUCCUCGGCGGUGGACUUGGAGCUGAACCGGCUGGCUCCCGCGGAGCCCAGGAGCUUCCCAGAGAAGAGAGCUACUUCUUCUUCCCUUCUCAAUCUGCUGCUACUACUUUUCUUCUUGCCCAACAUCUUGCUGCUGAAUCUCUUUCUCCCCUGUUGUUCGCUGCUGCUCUUCUUCUUCCCUUACCUCUACUGCUGCUCUUCUUCCUCAUUGCCAACCUGUUACUGCACCUUCUUCUUCAUGCUCCUGCUGCUGCUUAAAGCGUGGCUAUGGACGGAGGCAACCAAUCAAGUUGACAUCUACGUUUUUGGCCUCGUUUUCCCUCAUCAAGGCCUGGCUGGCUCGUUUUCUCUCUCUGAGCCAGGCCCAGCAACAAAAGUAACCAAACACGCCCUUAGCUUCAUUGUCUCCCAAAGCUGCAAUGGUUAUGGCCAAUCCUCAAAUAGCCUUUCAGAUGAAAAGAACUGGAAGGCCAUCUGGUCCGUCAUUGCUCCUAACAAGAUGAAGGUUGUCCUUUGGCGUUUGGCACAUGAUUGUGUCCAUCUUCUCCGACGACAGGUACCAACUACUGAUGCCUGUUGUUUCUGUGAGCGGACGAAGAGCAUUGAACAUUGUAUGCUAUUUUGUCCUUAUGCUUGUGCUGUAUGGGAAGAAGUAAAGCUUUCUUAUGACUUGACGCUGAGUCGGUCCAAAUUCCUCUCUCCCCGGCAGUGGUUGUUUGAUUUCCUACAUCGUUCCUCUAAUCGUGCAACCACAGUGUUGACUGUCACUUUAUGGCACAUCUGGGACACCCGUAAUGAUGCUCGAAAUGGCAUUGCUGCUCCCCAUCCUCGAUGUAUUGCUAUGAAGAUCAAAGCAUAUGUGGAGCUCAUUUUCUUGCAUUUAUUCAAACCUGCACCUGAGUCUAGUCAUGAAGCAAGGGCUUCUCCUACUCUAAUGUUUCCGCCGCCUCUAGGUACGAGCAAGGCUGGAGCCGGCGUGGUGGCUCUCGAUCACGGUGGGCGUUGUGUCGUUGCCUAUUGUGAGUUCUUCCAAGGGGAGCUCGUACCUGAACUGGCUGAAGCGAAGGCGCUUCACCGGGCGGUCUUCCUGGCUCGGGAGGUGAAUUUCCACAAGGUCAUCUUCGCUUCCAAUUGUUUGUCGCUGAUCCAACACCUCCACUCUUCUUCUUGCGAUAGAUCUUCGGUCGGAUCGGUGGUGGCUGACAUCAAGCUUCCUUCCAACGUUUUCUCUUCGGAACUUUUCAUAUUUGUGCGUCGGCAUCGCAAUGAUGUGGCGCAUUGUUUGGCCAAGGCUUCUGUGAAUUUUAGUAAUCUAUGUGUUUUUCGUUCUCCUCUGGAAUCUCCUAACCCGGCUGGUGAGACCCGGCAGGCCCAUUUUGGCUUUGACCCUAGUCUAGAGGCUAUCAUGAUACAAGAGAUUCACCCUAGGGAGGAGAGAUUGGUUGAUCCUAUGUAUUUUGAGCUCUUGGCACACUCUGACACUGCACCCAACAUUCAGUUACCAGUUAUUCCUUUGCUUCAGUCAGUAACUGUAGAAAAUGCAACUAGCAGCAGGCAGAAGGCAGUUAUAUCUGAUAAUAAGUUUGAUUGGGUGAAAAAGUUCAUCACACCCUCUGUUUGGGAGAUCAUCACUCAUGGAGCAGCAUCAACUAUCACUCUCCCAUUUGUAGUACCUGAGACUUGCCCAAAUGAGACAUCUCUUGAAUACAAUGCUUCUACUGAAGUGAUGUCUGCAUCAUCCACAUCUGCUCUCCACAACAACAAGAAAAGGAAAGAGAAAGUGCCUAUGGUUGAAACGGAGGUAAGGAGGAGUUGUAGACUCCAAAAAUUAUCUAAAGGAUUUAAGAAAGUUGUCUGUAGAGACAAGGAAUGUCUGGCAUGUCAUUCUAUUCCACCUCAUAUUCAUGCAAAGAUCAUUAAAAGCUUGAACACAUCUUUCUGCAAGGUAUCUGAGAGGGACACCAUUGAAGCAUUGAUCGACAAGAAAGCUAAGAAGACAAAAGGGGGAAACCCUAGGAUGGAAGCCAGUAAGGGGAGCAAGGAGCAGAGAAAUAAGUGGAUUUAA
RNAcentral lists this ribosomal RNA (3213 nucleotides) under Triticum aestivum (bread wheat). RNAcentral's name for it is "partial small subunit ribosomal RNA". Lineage: Eukaryota; Viridiplantae; Streptophyta; Magnoliopsida; Poales; Poaceae. The record is from RNAcentral.